CACUUCAGCCAUCUCUUUUCGUCCAUUUCUUUUGUAUAUUGUAUGGGAACCAUCCUUAUCAAAAGAUAUCACUUUCAGUAAACAAUUACAUUACAAAAUCAUUUUCUUUCUUUGUUUUUCAUUUUUUGCCUUAAAUGGAACCAUUUAGAGAAGAGAAAAGCUAAAACUAGAUGAUAAACAGAAAGAUUAAAACAAAAUUGAUAAAUAAACAGAAAGGUUAAAAACAUAAAAUAAAAAAGAAAACAAAAAGCCCUGAAACAAAAGUAAUCAAUUCUCUUAAGAAAAUGUAGUCCUUUCUCUUUGGUUAUGUAAACUGAUUGAUUGUGUUUUGAUAUCAUCUCCUGUUAUGAACAAGGAAUAUUUGUGAUGAUUACUGGUUCCCAUUUUCUCAACUACUUACUGAUUUUUAUUAAGAACAUUACUUUAAGUAAUCAGCUGAUAUUUAAUUCUCUUACUGAUGGUACCAUACAUUGUUCACAGAGCAUCUAAUCAGCCAGGUGAAUGUGUUAAUAAUAUGCUGUGGUUGUGCCAUCAUCACUCAAUUUAUUCAUAACAACUAAAACAAUAUAUAAUCAUCAAUAUCCAUGGUGUGUAUGUGAUUUAUAUUGGCACCAAUGAAACAGUGCUGUGAUAAUCUGUUUCCUUUUUCUUCAUUUUUUAUUCUACUUUUAUGACUACAUAAUUUUUUGAACACUAGAAGCUGCAACAAGUAACCUCUUUCUGCGUCUAGAAACUUUUCUUGAAAAGCAAGAGGAGACAAUCUAUUGUUUGGUUAAUACUCUGUUUGUUCACAAAAUGGUCUUACAAAAUCUUGAGCUUAUUUCUAGUAAGAUACCAGCCAAAAUCCUAUUAUUGUUUCUUUCUGCCUAAAUAUAAUUCAAUGUACAGGUGCUAUAUCUCAUCUCCGUCAUAUUUUUCCUUUUUCUUUCCAUCCUGUUACGUUACAAGUCCAUUGCAAAACUCGGUCUUGACCAUGUUAUCUUCUCUACUGGCAUGAACGAACUCAAACAGUCCAAAAGUGGGUGCGACGAAGUAUCAAAAAGCUGUAAAUGUGGUUUCUUUUACCAGUUGACGUGACGUCUUCCCUGUUUUUCAUAAUUCCUGCCUCUUAUAGUAUUGUUUUCACUGCUUCCCAACCGAAGAUAUUUCUUGGGGAGCAUAAUGUUAUAAUUUUGGCAUAUUCCCAACUUUUGUAUGGUGAGGAACAUAUCUAAUUAAGUUUAACGCUUGGAAUAUGGAUAAGAAAUGAUUUAGAUCAAGUUGAAUGAUUUAAGAUCAGUGUCACGAGAAAACUGGUUUUAGUUAAGAGAACCCUAAUGGGUUGGAAGUCAUCUAUUUAAAUACUUACUAUGUUAUGAGGAGUCAUUGAAAAUUCCAAUCCAAGUAGUCUAAUAAACUUAAGUAGUGCUUCCUGUACACUAGUUGGAAUUGUAUUGUGUUGGGGAAGGUUGCAUGUCUCAGACAAUGAAAAAUUAUGUGCACUUCAGCAUGACAACACUGCAAAUUAUCUGAUGAUCUUUCCUUGAAAAAAUUAACUUCGUAAAUACCAUUCCUUGGCUCCGUGAUUUUGUUGAUCCAAUUGGUACUAGUGGAAAAGGAAAAGGCAAAUGCAGAGAUAUUUUGGCAUUUCUUGCUGCAGCAAGCUGGCUGAUAUAUAAGCAAUUCUUAAACUGGAGUUAUGAUUGGUAUUUCUCUAGUAGAUAGUACAAAUAGAUGUUAGAGGCAUUUAGCUUGCUUUUGGAUCUUCUUGUGAUGUAAGACGUGAGAUAUUAAGGUGGCUGAAAACUUGUUUAGGGAAAUAAUAAGAAUAUAUUUUCCCAAAUAAUCACCAGUCCAAGUUCUAUAUUCUUCAAUAUUUUGGCGGCUCAUAAAAGUUAGAAACCAUAUGAAAGUAUGGUUGCAGGAAAUUUUCACAACCCCAAGUUCCUAAUAGCAUGUAUACCAUUUUAUAACUUCAGUUCGUCUCCAGUCACUUAGGCUUAAAUGUGAAUGCUGAAAUUUAACUAUUGACUAUAGCUUUCUUGUGUUAUUAAUCCUUUGAUACUAUAUUCCAACUCAAUGAAAUUCCACUGGGGGCAUCGACCUGAUGGUUUCUUUGUAUUUCAUAGCCCUCACUGAAUUGCAGGUAUGGUACCUAAGUAGCGAUUGUAGCUGUUACAGUUAUAGAUCACAAUGUGAAACAAGGCUAUUAGAAUUGGUAUAUUGGUUGCAAAUUUGAGACCUUGUUAUGUUCGACUAUUUUAAGCAUGCAAGUCUUGAUCAUAGCUCAUCAUUACCAAUUGCAACUAUAAGGCCUUCAGGCAUGAUUUAAUUUUUCGAAUUCAUUAUGCAAAUGAACAGUGUGUAUUGUCUUGCAUCUUUUAUUGAAAAUGUUUAUUAGGCUUCCAGAUAUAUAUGGUGAUUAAUUUGAAAACUAGGAACAGGUUCAAAUGCAUUACUUGUAUAUUCUUUUGCAGCCGUCUGCCAGAACUGCCAAAUUUGACAAUAAAGCUGCAUUUAGAAAAAUAGGAGAUGAAAAAGAGUUCAUUGUCUAAUGGUUCAAGUUUGCUGCAGGAAAUAAAUUGUGCACAUCCUUCUGUCAGCAUGCAAGAGCAGUACAAAUAUCAUGUCUUCAUACGCGCGCAUCCAUGGAGUACACUCAUGAUAAAUUCAUUAACUGGAAGCAGAGGAUGGAUCUAAGGCAACUGCUGCUUAUUUUAUUGGUAAUCUCGAGUUUUGCCCAAAGUGAUGUUGCUCCUGAUUUCUGAGUUGACACUGACAAGUUUUUGCUGGAACCUAUUGAGCAAAAGUUAUUCUUAAGAUGAGAUCAGGGUUGGCCUGUAUUCCUUUCUCAGUUGCAAGUUUCAAUUUAGAUUCGAUGAGUUUCAACUCCUUUUAAACUCCACCUGAGAGAUUGCAUCCCCUCCAUCUCAUUGAAAUCGGGUAAAGGAUCCAUGUAGAACAAUAGUUUACAGAUUGAAAAUGCGUUGCAAGUAUUUAUGGAUAAGAGGCGUUUUUCUAUAUGAAAACCUUUGUACUCGAACUUGCUUGCAUCAGUUUUCCUUUAAAAAAAUUGUAAUUUUCUUCUCAGAUGAUUAUUUAUAGUCUUCGCUGGUCUGUUGUACAUUUAAAAUAAGAAAUAUUCAGUUGUUUAAAGCAAAUAAUUAAGUCAUAAAGAUUCUUUUUAUUAGCUUUCAGUUUAUAUUAGAAAUAAGGAUUUAACAUAGAUCGGUUGUCAAUUUCAGCUUAGGAUCUUUUCUUAUUAGUUCAAUGGAAAAAUCGUUCAAAAUAUUUUUCAUAUUUUGUUACAUGAAUUUGUUUGCCCUUCACUUUUAAAAUAGUAAUUUUACAUCCUUUAUAAAAUCAAGUCGAUAAAAUUUAAUCCUAAUGUAAAUUUUCAACUACUUUUAAUUAUGAAUCAAUCAUAUGAUUCACAUAAGGUCUUUUUCCAGGGUAAAAACUUUAGAUUUCAUUUAUAGUCAAAUAAAUGAUCCAAUUCAUUUUUCCUCUUAAAAACUAGAAUUUGGUCCAAUUCUUAAUCAUUUUUACAACUUAAAAAGUGGUAUUUGACAUUUUUAUAUAUAAAAAAUUAUUGUACGUGGGUCAUGCGAUGAUUUUAUCCUAAAAAGUGGUUAGAAAUUUAAGUUGGGAUUAAAUUUUGCUAAUUUGAGUUUGCAGUGGAUGUAAAUUUAAAAAUGAAGAAUGAAAAUAUUUAUUUGACAAAAUGUGAGAAACGUUUUGAAUUAUUUUUUCUAAUUCGAUUAAUUUACACUUUUUAGUUUAGAGAAUCAUCUAUUCAUUUUCUAUUAUGAUGCUUCUUUGAUUGAAGAUUGAGAACCAGAUCUGCAGUUCUCCCAGGAGCAAGAGCAAAUAAUACAUAAAAAAACAAAUUCGGAAAAUCUUUCUAUUCUAUGACAAUCUCUAAGGUGGUUCUCCUGUGUCUUUCUCCGUGUGUGUGUCAAGUGGCGGAACCAAAUGGUUGAGGGUGGACAAUUAUCCUCAACUAUCAAAAAUUAGAAAUUAGGCAUAGAACUUUCUAUAAUUUUUCAGUUAAUCUAACAUUUGGACCUCUUGAAUUUUGUAAAAUUUUCUUUUACUCUCAUAUUGCCCCCCGUAAAAAUAUAAAAAUUUCCCACUAUCCUAUUUGGAUAGUGAAAAUACCACAUGAAUAAAUAAGGAUAUGAAGAAAUAAAAUUUUCGUUUAUUGUAGGAUGCUCGUUGCCAAAGAAAGUUCAAGAUUGGAAGCAUGUGGAAAUGUUAGCGGCAGCAGCAGCAUUUCAGUUAGGCUAUCAAUUGGAAGCCAAGGGCUCCGAGCUUGAAGGGGAUGCACAAGGUGUCAUAAAUCGAUUUAGGUAUUCAAGUAUAGAUAUUGAUUUAUCUAGUUUAGGCCCUUUAAGCGAGAAUAUUAUGAGGGAAUUAACUAGUUUAAAGGGAUCUAGUAUUUCAUGAGUAGAAAUCAUAAUAAAGUUACUCAUAUGCUAGCCAAGAAUCCAAAAUUCAGAUGUGAUCAUGUCUUUUGGUGAAGAGAUCCUCCAGACUUUGUUGUGCCAUUUCUAAUGGAGAAUUUGAUAGAAAGUUAAUGAAUAUUUAAUGUUUUAAUAAAAAAAAUGUGAAGACUUUUGAAAUUAAGCACAACAUAAGAAUAUGUUAUAAAACUAAUGCUAAUGUGAUAUAGGAUUUGAGUUAUUUAUGUGGUGAGUAAUAUGUUAAGAAAACAAGAAAAUUAAAAAGUUCAGGAGAAGAGAAAUGUAAGAAAACAAUUAUUCUUUCAUUCACUCAAAUAAAAUCUCAAUUUUCUAUCACUUUGAUACAAAGUGGGUAACCCCUAUUUAUAAGGGAAAGUGCAACAACUAACUUCUUUAAGAUGGUGAUACAAUCUUCUCGUAAGACGUAAUAAUUUUAUCGACAGUCGUGCAGCUUUAUUAAAAGUCGUGCCAUCUUUAUCACGUCAAAAGUGGUGAUAGUUUGUCAUCUCGAAAAACAUGAAAGACUUGUCAUCAUUUAGGGAAUGAGAUAAAAGUAAUAGACAUCUACAAUAUUUAAUUAUUUCAUAACAGAAUAACCUUUGUCUAAUUUUUCUUUUGUAUAACAAGAAUUAAAACUUAAGUCAUAUGUUAUUGAUUCAAGGGAUUGUUGCCCAUCCUAAUUAUUGUCUUAGCUCCGCCCCUGAAUAUCCUAAUUGUUGUUCUCCAAGAACAAUCCCUUUGUGUGCUAUAUUAUGGUCCAUAACAUGGCCUUACAUCUUGAAAUCUCCAGUAUUCGGUGCACCCCUAAUCACAAAUAUGCCUUCCACAAAAAGAAUAGGUUAUAUAACACAUCUGGAACACUGAAUCCUCACCAAAAAUUUCUGUUGUUUAUGUCCCCUGUGUAAUUUAUCCAGGUGAUGAUCUGCAAUAUUUAAGUUCAAACGUAGUGCAAUGCCUAAAACACCAAUAACUUCUACCUCUCUCUAAGAAUACUCAAUUAACUAUUCUUCAACUAUGCAAUUCUUUUUAUUGGAAACCAUUUCCAUUAGUUAGAGUCCUAUCUUAAAAUUGAAUGAGUCGUCAUGUCUAAAUCUAGUCCAAGUGAGUCAAUCAUUAACUUUAAGCAAGCUCUGUCUAAUUAAGCAUUAUCCUCAUCACCAAGCCAAAGUACGGAUUGGUAUAACUUUUAACUAAAGAAAUAUAUCACUAUUUAAUAUUAAAAGGUGUCAAUCAGGGAGCUUUAUUAAUUGGAAUGAAAAUCAAAUAGGAGGGAAUGAUGUUAACAAUAUUAAAGGGGAGAAAAAUGAAGCAUGAAGAAGGAUGAUAUCAUUCCUCCAUCUAGCAUACCCUGUCCAGAUUUUUACUUACAAGCUUAAUUUGCAAUGUUGACGUGCACGGCAGUUUCACAGUACAGUACUUUUUGGUUAUAUGUGCAUAUAUAUUUGUGUUUUAAUUGAAAUAUAUUUUAUGUUGUAUUCGUUAUUAUGAGAAAAUUUUAUGGUCCCUUUAGGGAACCAUUUCCUCGAAUUGUAUCUCUCAGUGAUAAUAGUGAUUCGUAUAGUUAAUAUGUAAGGGUCAAAUCCAAAAAGGAUUGUUGCUUCUCCCGCUAUUAUGAUGUAUUUUUAAAAUAAAGAACUAUCCAUUUAGUACUCGACAAGCUACAAAGUCUAUUGCCAUGAUGACUUAGUGAAUAAAGUAUUUCAAGUUCCAACCAUUUAAUAAUUCAAGAAUAAAUUUGGGAUGAGGGAUGGGUUGAGCAGUUCGGAGGGAGGGAAUGAAAGUGAGAGAUUCCGGAUUCAAGUUUUCCCACUUAUAUGAUUAAAAAAAUCAAGAAUAAACUUAGAAAGUACCCUCAAGUACCUUUAUAUGGUUCAAGGGAGGAGGAGGAAAGAGGAGACUUCAAGUCCAAGCCUUGUAUGUCCGUAUAAUUUUUUUAAAACUCAAUAUUGUGAUUGGCCAAUCUAAAAACUAAAGGAAGCAUAUAGAAAUAAAAAAAAAAACCAAAAUGAAUUUGAGAAAAAUCUGUAGGGUUAACAUAUCUACUUUGAAUUGGUUUAAAUCAAUGUCUCCUAAUUGGGGAACACUUUAACAAAGCCUACUAUACAAGGAGUUUUAAUUAAUUUUGCAUACUCAAAAUUUCAUAUAUUACUAAUAGGUAUGAAACUGAAUGAUUUGGAUGAAUUAUUAAUGAGAGAAUUGGAAUGGUUCACUUCAAAUUCCUUCAACAAAAACUUUUAUCCAUAACUUUUUUAAUACGGUUUUUCCUAAUAAUCACAAAUAGUGAUUGACCCACUCUAUUUUGGCAGUAAAAAAUUGAAUGAUAUCAUGUUAUUAAACUAUCAACAUAGGUCCCAUAAUUAGCUGUGCUUGCAUUAUAACUGAGGUUUUGAAAAAGUGGUUUUAGUAAUUAGUAUUGAUUCGCCUAACAUAUUUAAACCUGUAGUUUGAGAUAAAUUUUUCCUCUAGAUGAUCUUUUUCCUUUUCAUCCUUUCAUAUCUUUUUUCUAUAGUAGUGAAAAAGAUAAACAUCAUAUACUUUUUUAACACUUAAAGUUUUCUAAAUUGGACUAGAGGAAGCCUUCACUACUUCUAUUAAGAUGUCCUUUUUAUUUUUUUGAGCAUCAAACCUAAAACUUUCAGAUAUUAUUAUCUAAGAAAGUUUCUAAGUUAAAAAUUUUUAACUCAUCUAGAUGAUCUAUUUUCUUUUCUUGUAGUUUUUUUCCUUGGAAAUUAUCUUUUAUAUAGUUGUGGCUUGAUUAGUCUCAAAACUUUUAAAAGUAUUGUGAAUUGAACUAUAGAUUUUUGGAGGACACAUAAGUAAUGAUUGCUUCAAUUGAGAUUUCCCUUUUUAUAUGUUGAGCCUUAACAUAUUAUUUAAAUCCUUAAAGUGUUUUGAUUCAAGGCACGCGUAAGCUAUGUUUCCAACUGCAAGGUACAAUUUUCUCUCCAAAAAAACUAGAAAAUGAAAUAGUAAAUUCUGAACAAACAUUGUUUUCAAAUCCAAUGUAGAACAACAAAAAAAUGUUAGACAAUAGAAUAAUUGUUAGAAUACAUAACAAUUGAACUUAAUCUUAUUUCUUUCAUGCAAAAAGAAAAUUUAUUUCUAAUCGAGUAUCACCACCCAUUGGUUUUAAAGGAAAAGGACAAUUUUUGUUCAAUCAUCAAUAAUUUAAGCUUAUGGAAGUCAAAAAAUAGUGAACUCAAACUGUAGAGAUUGAAAAUAACGAUCUACACAUGAAAAUGUCGUUCUUGAUAAGGAAUAAUUAUUUAGUAGCAUCUCCUCCCUUUAAGGGAGAGUUUAUUUUUCAUCAAAUACAAAGUUUCCUUCUCAGCUUAAGGCACUCGUUCAUUUAGAUAAUAUUAGCAUGCCUUAUGUUCACUUAUUCAAUCUUUAUCAUGUGCAGGAUCUUAGGUCAAUGUCCUCCUCCUUCAAUAAUUUAUUAUUUUUCAUAAUAAAAUCAUAGGGCUGACACUCCUUCUUUGUGUAUGGGAGUUGUCAAAAAAAUUAAUAAUUAUUUGGUAAAUACAAACUCGAUAGAUACAAACACAUUGAAAUUUAAAUAGGAUUAGAGAGGGCAUUGUCUUUAGCAUAUUGCCUAAGUAAUUAUAGCGUAUCUAUUGAAACAAUUUCAGAAUAUUUAUAGCAUAUGUAUCAAUGCAAUUUUUGAAUGUUGCCCAUGUAGUAAAAUGAAAAGAAACUACAGCCUAUUGUUCACUAUAAUCUCAAUGAUGUUUACUGAUGUAACGGCUAAUUCAAUGAACAAAAAAUAGCCCAAUGGUUGGGGAAGGGGUUUUAGAGUCUUCCCCUUGUCAAGUUCAAGGUUCAAAUCUUAUACUUGACAAUUGGGGAUGGGAAGAAUAUAUGAAGGGAUGGGAGGUUAGAGGAUUAAAAAAAAUGAACAAAAGAUAGUCUAGGAAAAUAAGAAGCAAGAAGAAAUGUAUUCUUUUAUAACCCCUACUGCCAACUUGUGAAUAGAAUUUUCAGUUUCAACUAUUUAAUAAUUCAAGAAUAUACUUAGAAGGUACUCUCAAGUACCUUUAUUUGGUUCACACAUAUUCAUAUUUUUUGUUUUGGUUCAAUGAGAGACUCCAAACUUUAUAAAGAAGGAGGAAUGAGGAGACUGCAAGCCUUGUGUAUACUUAUUUUUCAUAAACUCAAUCUCGUGAUUGGACUUUCUAAAAACUAAAUGAAGCAUAUAGAAAUAAAAGAAAAAUAAAAAUGAAGUUGGGCAAAAUUAGUAGGGUUAACUCACUAACUUAAAUUGGUUAGGGUCGAUGCCUCCUAAUUGGGAAACACUUUAACAAAACCCACUACAUAGAGAGUUUUAAUUGAUUUUGUAUAGUUACAAUUUUAAAUAUUAGUAAUAGGUGUGAAGCUAAAUGAUUUAGAUGAAUCCAUGGAUGAGAGAAUUGGAAUAGUUUACUUCAAAAAAUUUUUAUCCACAAUUUUUUAAUGCGGUUUCUUCCUGGUAAUCAAUAUGAGUGAUUGACUCGCUUUGUUUUAGCAGUAGAAAUUUUAAUGAUAUCAUGCUAUUAAACUACUAACACAAGUCAUAUAAUAGGAAUGCUUGCAUUAUAAUCAAAACUUUGAAGAAGUGGUAUUAGUAAUUACAAUUGGUUCAUAUAACAUGUAUAAACUUGUGCUUUGAGAAAUUCUGCUUCUAGAUGAUUUUUCAUCAUUUCAUAUCUUUUUUCUAUAGUAGUGGAAAAGAUAUGCAUCAUAUACUUUCCCAACUCCUAAAAUUUUCUAAAUUAGACUAUAGUAAGGCUUCCUGGAGUAGGGGCGAAUUUCUAUAAAUAAUGUUAAUAAGAGAAAAAGUCGGAGAAGUGGUGUUGUUUCAGGAUUCGUGAUGGUAGAAGGGUCACCACAUUUGAAAUUAUCGGUAAUAAAUUUUUUUUUCUUUUUCUUUUUCUGUUCCGCAACUGGACUUUUUUUAUUAAGAUGCUUCGCCGCAUGCAGUAGUGCAUGUGAUGAUGACCCAAAAUUUUUAAAUUUUUUUUUAACGAAACCCUAAACCCUAAUUCGUAAAUUUUGAACCCUAAUUUAUAAACCCUACAUCCUAAUUAAUUAAUGCUAAACUCAAAAAUGAUCUUAGAAUGUGUUAUGCUUUUAAGCAAAAAUUACGUUAAAAACAUGCUAAUUUGUUUUCACCAUCAUUCGGUGAUCAAAUACCGAUGAAUGGGUAAAAGCAAGGUUGAGAUUCCAAAUUCAAAUACAAAAAUUGAUUUAAAUUAAUGACGCUGCAUCCUAAUUAUGAAAGUUUUUUAAUUUUAUGAAUACUUUUCCAUUUUGUCCCCUUAAACUAUACGCGAAAUCCCACUUCAUUACCUAAACUUUAAAAUCGGACACUUAAAUCCCUAAACUACAAGCUCCGUCUCAGUUUAAUAAAUUUAUUAACAGAAUCUUGAACAUCGUUAGUGUUCUUAAAGUGUGAGAAACACGCACCGUUAACUGAGGUCAUUGAGGGAAUUUCACAAAAAUAUAAAAAGUAAGGAAAUUAAAUUAGAAAAGUGUUUCCUUCCAUCUAACCAUCACAUUUGAUUUGAGUCAUUUAUUUAACUGAUCCAAGUCCUAGAAGUGCAUUCCACAUGCCUUGUACAUGUAGAAACUAAGUUGUUGAAUCUUCAGGGGAAGAACGAAGAAAAAAAUGCAAAUCCGAGUCCAUUUUCUCAGAUUUUGAUCUGACACCAUCAAAUAAAACCAGAUUUCACUUUUUCUUACUACAACAAUCAGCAGCUAUUAAGGGUUAUGAAGGUUCGCCUGGGCCUAUUCUUCAGAUUUUUAGCAAGAAAUAUAUAGGGGAACAGAACAAGGAAGACUAAGGGAGGCGGGUUAGCUUCUAAUUUUUGACGAUCUUCUUGGGCAGCAACGUCGACGGCAAUGGUAGCGCAAACGCCGAUAGCAUUUCUUAAGUUGGUCACAUGCUUUUUAGGGGUGGGCGCGGGUCGGGUACCCGUCCCAUUCACCAUUUGGCUGACCCGACCCGUACCUUGCGGGUCAGCCAUUUUUUGACCCUUACCUGCCCCGCAUAUCAGCGAGUACCCUAUAAUCGGGUACCUACUGAGAUAGGGUCGGGUCAAUGGGUACCCGCCCCCGCCCCAUUUAUCAUUUAAUUUUUUAAAAAAAUGAUUUAUACCAAUUUAAUUUUAUAUUUUACACAUUCAUCUAAGAUUUAAGAAAUAUUUUUUUUCUAAAAAAAGAUUUCCUACCAAGAAACAAGCAUUUGAAGAAAAUAUAAGAUAAAGGAAAAAAAUUAAAAGAAUUCAAAAUCAAUAAAAGUUUGAAAUAAGUAGCACAAUUUUUAAUAUAUAUGUUCCACAUUAAUUAAACUUUUUUCUAUAAAAUAUAAGAUCAUGGCCUCUACAAAUGAAUCUUGUAAAUAAACUAUAGUCGCUCAUAUUUGUAAUGCAAUUUGUUUAAUAAAAUUACUUAUUUAGUUCUUAUUAUUUUAUAGUGUGUGUAUAAAAAUAAAAAUAAAAAAAUAUAUAUAUGCGGGGCGGAUUGGGUACUCGCGAGUUUUUAAUUAUGUGACCCUAACCCGCCAAGCAUCUUAGCGGGUACUCGACCCUUUUUUGACCCGAUCAAAUAAUAAAAAUCGAAUAUCCUAAUUUUCGGAUCGGAUCGGAUCGGAUAUGACGGGUUUUCGGGUUAGCGGAUAAUUUUGCCCACCCCUAAUGCUUUUUUCCCUUCAUUUGAGUCACCGUACGAUGUGCAUAAGUUUCUCCAACCGCUUCAAGAUUUAUUGGAUAAGAAAGAAUUUUGGUAUAACAAAAAAAAAUGGAUGAGGAAAAAUUUGGUCUUUUUUCUAUUGCACUAGUUCUUGAAAAGAUGCUUAAGUUUUAGGAGACAAAUAGAAAUAGAGAGGAAGCUAGCUUGGGGGGAAGUGGUAAGGGGGCUGAUGGACAGAGUGGUUGUAAUUUUUUAUGUAACAAAUAGAUAGAUUCACUGAAGGGGUUGCGUCAGGAUUUGAUUAAUUAAUGGAAUUUUUUUUGGUUUAGUGGAGAAUUGCUUUUGUUGUUGAUUUGAAUAUUAUAGUGAUUAAUGGUAUAAAAAAGAAGAAGAAUGAAAAUUGACAGAUGAGGAAGGUGAUGGCAACAUCAAAAUUAAGAGGAACAUGGAAAUGCAAAUGGAAACUGUGACUGCCUCUAACUGAUUCGCUAAUAUGGGUUUUGAUUGUUUAAUUGCAUUAAACAAUAAUUUAAGAAAACAAGAGUAGGAGGGAGGAUUCAUUAAAUUUGUGUUUUGACCGGGGGGAAAGGGCUAGAGUGACAGCUUGGGUUCCAAAUGAAAUAAACAAUGAUGAAUCAUUUUUUUAUUUGUUUGUUAAAUGUUUAGGGUGAAAUUACAUUUAUAUCCUCGUUAUUUUGAUUUUCAACACUAACAAAACCGCACUACAGGUGCGUAUUUCUCAUGCCCUAAGAACACUAACGGUUCAUCAACGAUUUUACUUAAUUGGGAUGGAUCUUGUAGUUUAGGGACUUAAGUGUCCCAUUUUAAAGUUUAGGUACUGAAGUGAGAUUUCACAUAUAGUUUGAGGGGACAAGUGGAAUUAACCCAUAAUUUAACGUACCAUAAAUAAUAUAGCAUCAACUGUAAAUGUCUAAUAUAGCAAAGUAAAAAAUAUUGUCAUUGUUUAAAGCUACAAAUCACAGAUGAACGGUACAAAUCAUAAUCAUCCAUCGUGCCCCUUGCCCCUAUUGCGUGUGGUAAUAAAACAAUCGCAUCUCCAAUGCACUCUCUGGUGUGGCAAAUCGUGUUGCAGCUGUAGCCAUUCAGACCUCCUAUAUAGUGUCUCAGGCAUUUGUUUAUCCUUAUCAUCGUCGGAGGGGUCCACCACAGGAGUCUAACCGCAUCUCUAAUAGGAAAGAUUUAUAGAUGUGGUGGAAGGGCCUUGAUGAGAAGCGGUGUCUGAGUUUGUCUGAAAAACUAGUGAAAAAACCCAUCGAGGAUCCUAAGAAAUCAUAGAUACUAUUAAGGUUUUCACCGAACUCAUUAUUCAUCCCAAAUGACCUAUGUGGCCUAAUAGAAAAGGAGCCAACACCUGCUGUAAAGUCGAAUCCAGUUAAGGGAGUAGGUGUCAUAUAAAAAUGGCCUCUGAAAGCAAGAACUGAUACAGAAUCUUGUUAGCUUUGAAGCUUGUCAAAGUCGUUUGCAUCAAGAAUGGUCAUCAAGUUGUGUUUUAGUGGAUGAUUGAAUUAUUAAUUGUAGUAGUCGUUUAUGCUAUCCAAUUUUCCGGCCAAUUGGUUGAGGUUGGUUCGAGUAAUGUUAGUUGGUUUCAUAUUAAGUUGAGUCGUUACUUUUAGAAGAAUAAAAGGUUAAGGUCAUGUUGACCAUUGUAAGGAUUAGUUACUUGUAGGUAGUUAAGGAUUAGUUAAAUGAGUUCUAGUAUGGUUAGGAGUAUUGAGUCUUGUAAAGACUAUAAAAAGCCUUAGUUUUAUGUUUGUCAUAUGUUGAAUAAAUUUGAAAAAUUUUCCAAAAAUUCUUCCUUGUGUGAGAGAGCUUCUUUUAGCUUAUGAAAGCUGCCAGUGAACAUCUUAGAAUAGGCCUAAGGUGAUUCGUCAACUUAUCAAUCAAGUAUUCACCUUGAUUGUGGCGUUGUUCUACCAUUUUGUUCUUUCUUGAGCAGUCCAAAAUCGAUCAUAAACAUCCAACCCCAAAUGUUGAUCCUUAAUCUAGGUCCAAGCUUGUGGUUCACGCUCUUGAUUCAUCUUGGCAUAUCGAGAAUCGUAUCAGUUGAUAUCAAGAGCUAGGUUAAAGGUAUCAUCGCUAUAUCCUUUUUUGUUUUGUUUAGUUUCUAGGAUUUCAUUUGUCUCAACCUUGCUGUCCAAAUUGUGCAGUCCAAUUCGUGACUUAUCUUGGUGUUUUCCUUCAUCAAUUGUGUCUUGUUUUGUGUAUUUUCUCUUUGUUGAUUCUUGUUUUGUGCGUUAGCAAACCAGUCUGAAAUUGUCCUUGUUGAAACGCUAGGGUUUCUUGAGCCUCCAUAGCUGUCCACAUUUGUUCAUUGCUGUCCAUUGUUGUUCCUUGGUCCAAAUUGUGUUUGAGUCUUGAUUUUGUGUCCUGUUGUCUUGUUCUUCAAGUCUUGUGUCACUUAGCGUCCAAAAAACAAAAAAACAAUUCUGUUCCUUGAGUUUAUUGUGAGAAUCCGUGGCUGCCCUUGUCCUUGUUGCAAGUCCGUGGCUGUUUUCCUUGAUUUCUUGAAAAGCUUUAUAGUUCUUGAAAUUUCUGGGCAAAAGUAUUGAAUUUCUUGAAGUUUCUUGAACAAAUUCUUGAAAAUCUUGAAGUUCUUGGGUUGCAUAAUAGGGUUUCUUGAAAAUCUUGAACCAAAGUUUCCAAAUCUUGAAGUACUUGGAAAUCCUAGUUCAUAUUUUUGAGUUUAUGAAUAGAGGCUGCCUUUGUUUCUUGAUUGGGUGAACCGAAGUGAAAAAAAAGAGAGACAAAAUUCUGAAUUUGAUCCGUGGGAAAAAAAAAAGAACAAGUCUUAAUCAGAUCAUUAGCAUUGAGUUUAGAAACAAGAAGCCAAAUUGGAAUUGGCAACUGAAAUCAACUUGGACUCUUGUUUCCAAAAGUUGGACAAAGAAUCUUUAUUGGUUUUGGUUUACUUUUUCCAGCUAUAAAAUCUGAACAUACACUUAGGAAACUACCUAAAUAGCAUCUCGUUUCCUAUAUUUGAAUCCAAGAACCAUCCAGAUUAGAUUCCAAUUUCCAGCCAAGCUACAAUCAGGUAGAGUGCCUAUUUCUAGGAUCCAGAAAUUUUGCCAACUUGUUCCUUAUUCCAACUGAAUAAACUAAAUUGUCCAGCAUUGUAUAGUUCUAUCUUGAGUUAUUUUUUCAGUUUAUAUUCAAGUUUUAGUAGUCAAAAACAAGUCCAAAUCGGUCUUGGACUAUAAGAGUCAAGAGUUUCUUAAUUCUAGUUGUCUUGUCCAAGUCCAUUACUUUCUAGAUUUUUUUGUAAUUUUGUCCAAGUCAAAUUUGGUUUUGUAGGGUAGAUUUCCAGCAAUAAUUAAAGUGUCCAAGUGUGUCCAAUUCUUGGUCCAAAAUCUGCCAAAAUUCAACACCAAACCUGUUUGAUUUUUGCCUAUAAUCGUCUAGAGUUUCUUUAGUCUUGUUAGGGUUCAUCUUUGCACCAAUAAAUUUACAAAUUUCCAGCUUUGUUAUGUACCGUUUUUCCAGCAUUCUUGAGGUCUAAUUUCUGUAAAUUUCCAGCACCUUUGUUUGUGUUUAAUCCUUGCUUUUGCUUGUUAAAUCUGUCCGUGCUACAAGCAAGUGCAUAUUACUUGAUAAGUGGAGUUUCAUCUCAAGCAUAGCUCUAAUUUAUUCAAGGCAAGCAAGUAACAUCCAUUAGAGCUUGAUUGUGAGUUCAUUGGAGUGUUGAGUGCAAACACGUAAGGGAGUGUGUGAGGCAACAUACACUUGUUUCUUGCUUACUCUUUUUAUAGGUUACCUUAACAUGUCAAAUGGAGAGGAAUCAUGCAUUGCUGACUCUAAACUUGCCAUGGAGGGUAUGAUGAGUGAAUUCCAACGUAAGAUGAGAUUGGAAUUUGACUCCUUACAUGAAUGGAUGGAUUGUCUUGAAAAUUUCCAAAACCGAAGUGGAACAAGCCAAGGAAGGAGUAAUAGAGUAGAAAAUGGAGCUUCUAAUGACGAAUAUGAGGAGGAUGAAGGUCGAACAAGGGCUGUCCGAAACAUCAAUAAUAGAGGUGAUGAUGAAAUCAAGGGAAUCAAGCUGAAAAUUCCAUCUUUCCAAAGAAAAUCUGACCCUGAAGCUUAUUUGGAAUGGAAGAGGAAGAUUGAGAUGAUAUUUGAAUGCAAUAGUUACACGGAUGAGCAAAAAGUAAAACUUGCAGCCGUGGAGUUCAUUGACUAUACAUCGGUAUGGUAGGAUCAACUAUACCUUAGUCGUAGAAGGAAUCGUGAGCAAGGUGGGAAGACUUGAGAGGAGUUGCGAGAAUUGAUGCGAAAGAGAUUGUGCCUAACUAUUAUCAUCGAGACUUGCAUAAUAGGUUACAAACUCUUACUCAAGGCAAUAUGUCCGUGGAAGAUUAUUGCAAGAAGAUGGAGAUGGCUAUGAUGAGGGUCGACAUGCAAUAAGAUCUAGAAGCUACAAUGUCUAGGUUUUUAAAUGGUCAGAAAUAGUUGAGCUCCAAUACUAUCUAGGUAUGAAUGAGUUGUUGGAUAAAGCGGUGAAGGUGGAAAGGCGCCUCAAGAGGAGGGGUAACACUCGCCCUAAUUCUAACUAUCAAACUGAAAAUUGAUGAAAUUUUUCUUCAAGACAAGAAGAUAAGUAUAUGGAACCUUCUGAACCACCAAAAUCGAGGCCAAUGAAAGCUAAACCCGCAACUAAAAUUGAGGUUGAGAUUGGCACACGCACUCCAAAACCUCGAAGUAGGGAUGCUAAAUGUUUCAAGUGUCAAGGAUUUGGAUACAUAGCAUCUCAAUAUCCCAACCAAAGGACCAUGCUCAUCCUACCUAAUGGAGAAGUUGUGUCGGAUAAUGAGAACGAUUGUGAAGGUAUGCCACCUUUAGUGGAGGAAAGUGACAACUCGGAAGAAAAAUUGCCUUUUGAAGGGAACGUUGGAGUCUUAGUUGUAAGAAAAGUGCUUGUAGCCCGAGUUUUAAAGGAUGAAGAUAUACAAUGGAACAACUUAUUCUACACUCGUUAUCAUAUCAAGGACAAGUUGUGUGGUCUAAUAAUUGAUGGUGGAAGUUGCACAAAUAUGGCGAGUUUGUUCAUGAUUGAGAAAUUGGCUCGUCCAACUACCAAGCACCCUAAGUCAUAUCGACUCCAAUGGCUAAAUAAUGAUGAUGAUGAACGAGUAUAUAGGCAAGUGCAGGUACUAUUCUGCAUUGGUAAGUAUGAAGUCGAAGUGGUAUGUGACGUGGUACCAAUGCAAGCAAGCCAUUUGAUCUUAAGUCAUCCUUGGCAAUUCGAUAAAGCUGUUCACUUCAACGAACGAGCUAAUAAGUAUUCCUUCAUGCAUGGUGAUAGAAAGGUUACUCUUGUUCCCCUUACCCCUAGACCGGUUCAAGAGGAUCAAGUAAGAUUACAUGAGAAAUAUGAGUUAGGUAUGAGUUGAGCAAAAAGAAAAAGAGUGAGACCGAGAGUGGUAAUGAGAGAAAGGCAUUAGUUAGUUCGGCCAAAGGGGUGUAUAAAGAUAGGAAACAUAGUUUGUUAGUACAAGUUGAGCAUGAUGAGGUUUUUUCUUAUAACUUUACUAACUUGUUUGCUAUUAGUUUUUCUUCCUUUUUGCAGGUUAAGUGAGAGGACAUGGAAUUGCAUGAUUGCUAUCCAAUUUCAACCAACCUUGCUACCAUUCCUUUUUGUGAAAAUAUCAACGAUACAAUUUCAGAAAUUUAUAUCUUAUUGCCUUCGUUCUUCCUUCUUAUCAUGUCUUGUUAGGAUCCAAACACAGAACAAAUAACUAUUGAAAUAUCCAGUACACAACAAUUUAAUGACAAACAAGUCACAAGUAUAAAAGAUAAACAACACACAAUAUUUAACGUGAUUCAGCUCCACCACUAAGCCUACGUCCACGGAGAGAAAAUUCGUUCUUUAUUAUGAGAGGAAAACCCUAUACCAAAAUACAACUUGAACCCAAACCCGACCCUUGUAUAUUAUCUCUUAUCUCCCAAGAACCCUCUCUCACUACCCCAUGUAUAAGGCUACAUGUCGCCCUUGUGUGUCUCUUUGUAGUAUGCCAACCUACCUAUUUAUAAAUAACAUUAUUUGGCCAAUAACCCAAAUAACAACAGGAAACCAAUUCUAAUUCCUAAACUUGUACAGAAUAGAAAAUAACUUCUAAUCGUAAAUAAAAUAGAAAAUUUCUUGACUAUCACUUCAAGUAAAUAAAACCAAUUAGGAAACUAGUUACUUCCACACAAAACAAGAAACCUACCUAAAAGAAAUUAAGCCAAUUUUCUAACAAAUCUUCACUUUGGCAAAAAUUUCUUUUAGCAACCAUUUGCUUUCAACUACUAAAUAAUAUGAUACCGAACUACACACCCGAAUUAACACAGUCCUGACACCAAAUUGAUUCAAUCGACAAAUGAAUAUGUGUAAUUACCCCGAGUCCAACCUCCAGUUGACUCAUGAGAAGGUGCAUCAAUUCAUCGUCUCCCUUUGCAGGAUUUCUUCUCACAAUCACUUGCAACUUGGGAUCCCUUUCUGUGAACUCUAACCCUAAACAUUGAGGCAACCAAGUGGUAAAAUCACCAUAGUUCUUUUCAUCUUCAGGACUAUCUCGCCAUGUGUGGUUUCUAAGACUCCACCUAAAACGAAAAACUCGUAACUAUCAGAGUCUUCUGGUGUAUGAAAUUUAUAUCUCUUUGUUUCUUUGGGACAUAUGCCACACCACUCAAAAAAUAUAAUUGAAAUCUAAAAGUCACCGGGAUAAAAUAUCAACUGUUAGAGGUGUGAGAAAGUCUCCACCGAUUCACGUCCAAAAUCAACAUUGGACUCCACUUUUUUCUUGACUCUUGAAUCUUCUGCCUAAAUUCACCAUCAAAUAUCUUUAUGUUUUUCGGCUUCCCAUCCUUCAUCAUCAAUGCUGUUUGCCAAGCCAUUGAAACAGGGAUUCCACUCAUUAAAUUGUUCAAUUGGUAACAACCACCAACCUACUUGAUCUCAAUAGUUAACCAAGAUCCAACCAUGAACAACCAAACUAUUGAUCCAACCAUUCAAUUUGUUGGGAUCCAAAUGCUUGUGAGCAGCCCAAUCUCACAACCAAGUUCUGAUACCACUUAUUAGGAUUCAAGCGCGGAACAAACAACUAUUGAGAUAUCAAAUACACAAUAAUUUAAUGACAGAGCAUGAAAGAUAAACAACACACAAUAUUUAAUGUGAUUCGGUUCCACCAUUGAGUUUACAUCCACAGAGAAAAAAUUCGUUCUUUACUAUGAGAAAAAAACCCUAUACAAGAAUAUAACUUAAUCCAAAUCCAACCCUUGUAUACCAUCUCUCAUCUCCCAAUGAGUCUCUUUCACUACUCCAUGUAUAAGGCUACAUGUCACUCUUGUGUGCCAUUGUGUGUUUGUUUGUAGUAUGCUAACCCACCUAUGAGAAUAUUAUUUGGCCAGUAACCCAAAUAACAACAAGAAAUCAAUUCUAAUUCCUGUACUUGUACAGAAUAGGAAAUAACUUCUAAUUCUAAAUAAAAUAGAAAAUUCCUUAGCUACUAUUUCAAAUAAUUAAAACUAAUUAGGAAACUAGUUAUUUCCACACAAAACAAGAAACCUACCUAAAAGAAAUUAAACUAACUUUCUAACAUGUCUAUAUUUCUUUUACACAUUUGUCUCAUUUUUGUGAGCUGUCUACUAACCUUUGUUAUCUCAUUUUCGUAGACAUUGGGGCUAAUUGUGUACCAAGAAUUCGUUUAAAGAGUGUGUUCCUCAAUGAGCAUUACAACUACUAUUUUCUACUUGUAGAUAGUCCAAGUGAAGUUUCAACAUCACCAAAUCAGAUUUUGCACUUUGCCAGCUUCAAUGAGGUGGAAGGGCCAGUUUCAUAGAAGAUGCUACGUACCAAUUUGAAAAUCCAUAUCUUAUUGAUACACAAGCAUUGAAGCCGAUCCGUGAGCUUCAAGGUGAUGCAAUCGAUCAUUUUUAGCAUUGCACAUGGUGGUCCUUGUGUUGGAUGCAAUUCUUAAUUGUCUUCAUCAUCUCGACGGCAUGUAACUCUUCUUGUGUCUCUUUAUGCAUCGAUUUGUAGUCUAAUCACUUUCAAUAGGAGGGGAAUGAUACAAAAUCUUGUUAGCUUUGAAACUUAUCAAAGUUGUUUGCUUCAAGAAUGGUCAUCAAGUUGUAUUUUAGUGGAUGAUUGAGUUAUUAGAUGUAGAAGUUGUUUAUUUUAUCCAAUUUUCUAGCCAAUUGGUUGAGAUUGGUCGAGUAAUGUUAGUUGGUUUCAUAUUUAAUUGAGUCGUUACUUUUAGAAGAAUAAAAGACUAAGGUCAUGUUGACCAUAGUAAGGAUUAGUUACUUCUAGGUAGUUAAGGAUUCGUUAAGUGAAUUCUAGUAUGGUUAGGUGUAUUAAGUCUUGUAAAAGUUAUAAAAAGCCUUAGUUUUACGUUUGUCAUACGUUGAAUAAAUUUGAGAAAAUUUUCAAAAAGUCUUCCUUGUGUGAGAGAGUUUCUUUUGACUUGUGAAAGCCGCCAUUAAACAUCUUAGAAUAGGUCUAAGAUGAUGCGUCAACAUAUCAAUUAAGUAUUCACCUUAAUUGUAGUUUUGUUUUACCAUUUUGGCCUUUCUUAAGCGGUCCAAGAUCGAUCAUAAACAUCCAUCCCCAAACGUUGAUCCUUAAUCUAGGUCCAAACUUGUGGUUCACAUUCUUGAUUCACCUUGGCAUAUUGAGAAUUAUAUCAGGAACACAUGGAGGUGUGGAGAAUGCUCUAGAAUAGAAAAAUUAAAUGAUAACUAUAAAGUUGUAUCUGACAUGUGAUGAAGCAUGAGGAUGUUGUCUAACAGGAACAUCAUCAUCACGUAAUGAGGUGACCCUCCAACAAAACCUGCCUCCCUGAUUCUUACCAUGCACCAGGCUAGGUGGAUGCUCAACAGGCAUCUCGAAAGGUGCAACUUGAGAGAUCGAUAGACCAACAUCCUGAUGAUCAAAGGAUCCAAUGCAAUCCGAAUUCCCUGAUUCAAUUAUUGUAACUUUCCGAAUGUCUCUUCCCGUAUCAAAGAGAGCCUGGGAUGAGCACACUGGGCAGGGUUUAUCGGAGCAAAGUAUCUAUUGCAAAUGGAUCCGAUUUGAAAUAUGGUAUCAAUCUGUUGAAAGUAGAAAUUGUUUAUUGUAGUUAUUACAUAUGUUAUUUAAGAAAAAAUAAAUACGUGCUAAGAAGUAAAGCUAAAAAGGUAAUUAUUUACCAAGUAAUCGAAUCGUCUCCUAUCUCCUUGAUGACCAUCACGUUGGGGCAAUUGCAAAAUAGGAAGUGAUAUGUAGCGGAUUGUCCAAUUAUGGUACUAUGUCAUGUAGCCAUCCAUAAAUCUGUUGGGAUCAGGAUGAUAGCCUCGAACAUAUGCUUUAGCACGACACUCCCAAUAUUCAAUCCAAUGACUAGGCUACCGAGUUCAAUCCUUUCUGACCUGUUCUGAUCAACAUAGAGAAUGCAAUUUUUUAUCACCAUUUGUGUCAACUCUAACUGAUAUGGGCAAAUGCAUCCCAAACUAUUUUAGUGCCUAAUUUGAAAGGUGAAAUUCAAUUACUUCUCAAUGUAUCAGUAGAAUGACUGAAGCCAUAUAUAUUGUCUAGCCGAGCAAUAGACGGAAAGAUGUGGAAUAAACUCGUCAGGACAAGACUCCCAAAUGACCUAUUACCAUUUAAAAAUGUAUAGUUAGUCGCGAUAGUAAUUACAAACAUAGUCAAGAAUAGAAACAGUUACCAUUUGCAACACCUCGUCGACGUCCAUAACUGUAAGCUGAUCACGAAAUGCAGAUACAACAUGCGAGGGCACGUGCUUGGUUGUACGGCUCCUAGCACAUUAACCGCCUCUCGAAAAGUCAUUUUGUUGUGCGGUAGGAUCCAACACGGUUGGUCGAAUCUUGGGAAUCCUCUUCCAUACCCAUAACUAGUAAUAAUGAAAAAUUUUGCCAAAUUAUAAUAUUUACAGAAAGUAGUGAAAUAAAUAUACUCACACAUUCAAAUGGUGUAUAUAUGCUCACUUGUAGAAAUAUGUACGAUCCAGCAGUACAGCUCAUUACUGCCUGAGAUACUUUGCACAUACGAAAAUGUAAAAAUGCAAGCGUUGCACUGUCCCAACUAUAUCGCUCAUACCCUUAAUGUCUAAAAUAAAAUCUAACCAAUGACAGUUGACAAGGUUGCCGCAUGUGUCAGCAAACAACUAUCCCCUAAAUAAAAUCAAAAUGUAGCACCGAACAUCAUAGUUAUUAAACUCGGCCUGGCCCGGCGGUCGGACCGGUCAACCUGGUGAACCGGUCAUUGGACCAGGCCGGGUUUUCAUUUAGAUCAUUUAAGCAUAAGAACUGUUGACUGGUCAAUGAUCCGACAGUUCAACCGGAUUAAACUGGAAAUCCGGCCGAUUUUUUCGAUUUUGUCCACAAACUAGAUUUUGGAGAAAAAAUUUUAGAUUGCUUUAGGUAGGAUUCAAACUUGGACUAAAGCAUAUCACCAGAGCAUCGUUACCACCAAGCCACUUAUAAGAUGUUAGUAAAGUAACUUUCUUAUAAUAUAUGAAUGUUUUAUCAAUUCUAUCUUUAUUUUUUUAUUUCUCUAAAACAAAUUUAUUUGGAAUAUUUUAAUAAAAACAUAUGACCCCCAAACUCUAUAAGUUAUAAAAUGGAUUUCAAAAAUAACAUAUUACAUAAAUUAUUUUAAAGAUAAUAUAUUGUUUUUAAUAAUUUUUUGCACUUAAAAUUCGUAAAUAAGCUAGAUAAUUAUACUAAAUAUAGAUAAAAUUUUACACUUAAAGUUUAGUUGAUUACUAAAUAAAUUUAUAUUUUAUUGAUUCUUAUAUGAAUUAAUUAUUCUAUAGUGAAUUAAAUUAAAUGAACAUUUGCUAUGGUAUUAUUUAUUACAAUUUAUAUCAUAUAUCUUAUAUCAAAAAUUAUGCAAACAUAAUAUUUAAAUAUAUUUAGUGACCCACCAGUUCAACCACUCAUCCACUGGUUGAACCAGUGACCUAUUGACCCACUUCUUUCACGGAGUUCCUUCCCGAGCCGGGUUUAAUAACUAUGCCGAACAUAUUGAUGAACUAAUUCUUCAAAUGCAUUAUCUGAAAGAGACUCAUAUAAAAACUCUAAUAUUGGUAUAAAUUUCAACCUACCAUCCUUAAAGUGGCGAUCAAGUCCUAAAAGUUCUUCGAUCAAGUAUUUUUUCUAAACAACAGACUAAUUUUGAUCGACAAGUGUGAAUGAUAAUUCAUCUACACAUAGACCCCAUAAUACCUCCAUAUCAUGUAAAGUGAUAGUAGUUUCAUCGAUAGAAAGAUGAAAAGUGUGGAUCUUCUGCCUCCAUCGCCUUGCAAUCCAUACAUAGUGAUUUUUUUCGACCACGAUGUACAGUUCGAUAUUAAACAAGUCAACAAUUUUUUUUCGGAUCUAGUACACAAUGACCUAAAUUUACAAAUAGCACAUUAUCUAAGACAGUCAGAUUUUUGGGUAUAGUACAGGCAGGUCAUUUUGACCUUGAUCAUGGCCUAAUCACAGCGCUUAUUGUGUGGGCCCUAGAUGGAGUCGAUCGUACUCCUGGACCAAUGAUCCAUAUCUACAAAAGUCUGUAAAUAAUAAAAAAUUACAAUAUAAGCUUAUAAUUAAUUACAUUUGUAAAAAAAAUGUUGGUAAAUUCAAUGCACAGAUAGAAGUAAAAUACAAUCCAAAUAUUUUUUAUCGCUUGAUGUAAAACAAAUAACAUUACAAUAAAUAGAUAACCACAAUAAUAACAUUAUAAAUGAUCUAUAAAUCCUCAACUACUUAUUAAAUGGCUCGAGUAAGGGCAAUUGCAGGCGUUGUGUCUCGUCUAUGAACAAUGGCUGCAGCGAUGAGAUGUAUCCGAUCAUUGACGAUCCAUUUGGUUAUGUAUUCUGCCUAUGGCCUUAGAGCCCGGUUGCUUUUGCUUAACCUUGAUAGAAUUGUAAUUAAGUUAUAACUCCGUAGUGAUCUAGUAAAUUGUGUCCCACAAAGAAAAAAAUUACCCUUACAGAGAUGCCUACCAUACUGAAAAUGUGUGUGUGGAAUCAAUUAGAUAGUAUGAAUUUGUUCCCGAUCGAUAACAAGACGCAAUAACAUGCAAACAUGGGAAUCGAAAUUCUAUUCACUUGUCACAUGUACAUGUCCCAUUUCCAAAGUGAACAAUCUGUGUAUUACCCCCUUUUCAUUAUAGCAUCGGCCCAUUGUUAUGUAGUAUAUUCCGUUUCAAUGAUGAUAGAUAUGCAUUGAGUAUAUCUUUGAUUUAGCUCAUUUGUUACGAAAAUUUUUCAUAUUUUCUUGGGAAGAGGGUAUAUCGUACUGAAGGCUUUCUUCCGUUUCUUUGUGAAAAGAUCAACGGUUUAGUUGAAAGUGAAUUGUACACAAAUGAUAGGAGUUGAGCCUGUGCAAUAAUAAUUACUUACUCAAGAAAAAUAUAAAUUUUAUAUAUAGCGAUGAGUAGGGUCGAAUCUUCAGGGACUGGAAAUAAUUUAUUUCUUUUAGAGUCCACAGAUGGGGGGGGGUCUAUAAAAAUAACUAAUUAAUUAAAUAAAAGCAACUCACGAAAAUAAAUAGGAAUUAAUCAACAAUAGAUAUGACUAUUGCCGAAGGUGCAACUUUUCAGACACGGUCCAUUCAACUGAUCAUCGAUACAAAGAUAAUUCAAUUACUCAUUAAUAGAUUGGUUAUAGUUGUCAUACACAGGAUAAACAACCAACUUUUUCUUACUUUUUCGAUAGCCAAGGUAUGACCGUUAACUAUUUUCCUAACUAAAAAAUAACACUAGGUACGAUCGUAAGAUUCAAUUCCUGAAUUGCAUUAAGAAUUAGAAAAACCCAACCCUAACCAACAAACACGUUACAAGGAUUUGUUUAAAUUAGAUCAUAUGUGUCCCUAACAUGGGACCAAUCAUGCUAGUCGCCACUGGUAUUAACCAAUCAAAUAAUUACGGAUUUAACCGGUUAAUUUAAUAGUAGAUUAUUAGGUUACUUUAAAUAUCGGGCCCGCGAUAUUCAAAUAACACAACAAUCAUAAGAAGUUAAACCAGAAAUGUACAAAUACUAAUAAAUAAAAGAAAUAAGUAAAAUAAUUCGAUCUCACAAAUAUUUGGCACUGCGUCUUCAAGUUGACCUUUGACUAGGGGUGUGCAUUCGGUGCAAAAUCAGUAAUUCGGUGCACUGAAUUCGGUGAAUUCGGUUAUUCUACCUAUAGAAAUCUAAACCGUUUUCAAUUCCGAAUUAGCCAUAACCGAAUUCAUACCGCAACCGAUUUCAAAUUCGAAAACGGUAAUGAAUUCGGUUAAACCGAAUUCAUCUAUUAAAAAAGAGUAAUAAUUUAUCUAUUAAUUUAAACAAGAAUAAACCUUAGACUAUACAAUGAUUGGUGAUAAUUUAUGAAUUUAUAAUUUACAAUGAUUACUAAUAAGUAAUAUUAGUUAGUAGUUACAAUGAAUUUAUAAUUUACAGUGAUUAAUAAUAAAUAAUAUUAGUUACAAACUUACAAAUUACAAUAAUUAGUGAUAAGUUAUAUAAGUUACAAACUUAAAAUUUAUUUCAAAUCAAAAUAAAAAACUUAUUUACUUACACAUGUUAUUGUGAAAGUCAAUACACUAAUACAUUGAUUUGCAAUUCACAUGCAUUCACUUACACUGCUUAGUUGUCUUGUCUAUACUUAAAAUCUUGAGAUUAGUAAAUAGAUAAUAUGAAUUUUAACUUAUUUGAUAACUUAUACCUAGAAUCCUUAGUCUAUGAUUUAAGGAACACAAUGAUUAGUGAUAAUUUAUGAAUUCAUAAUUUACAAUGAUUAAUAAUAAGUAAUAUUAGUUACAAACUUACAAAUUACAAUGAUUAGUGAUAAGUUAUAUUAGUUACAAACUUAUAAUUUAUUUCAAAUCAAAAUAAAACUUAUUUACUUACAUAUGUUAUUGUGAAAGUCAAUACACUAAUACAUUGAUUUGCAAUUCAUAUGCAUUCACUUACACUGCUAACUGCUUAGUUGUCUUAUCUAUACUUAAACGCUAAAGCCUUAAGAAUUAAGAUUAGUGAAUAGAUAAUAUGAAUUUUUAUGUUAAAUAUGUAGAGUACACUAAUACUUGCAAGUUAUAGAUUACGCAUUCAAAUAUUUAAUAAUUCAAACAUGAAUGAUAUAUCAAAUUACCAAUAUCUAAAUUCUAAUUAUGAAUUAUGUUUAUUGUUUAAUAUUUAGUAUUAUACAUAUAUGUAUUAAUUAUUAUCUAAUUCUAGUCAUGUUACUCAUGUAUAAAAUAAUAAGUAUUAUAGUUAUCUUAUAUUGUUAUGUAUUACUAUAUAUUUGUAUUAUUAUAGUCAUAUAACAAUUAACAAAUACUAAAAGAAUAUAUUGUACAUUAUUAUAUAUUAUUAUUAUUAUUAUAAGUACAUGAUAUGAUAAUAAUACCAUAUACUAAUUAUUAUUAAUAGCAUUUACUUAUAUAAUAUAAUAAAGUAUUAGUAGUAUAUACUAAUACUAAAUAGCAUUUAUCUAUAUAUUAUAUAAUUUUAUAUAUCAAUUUGGUAAUUCGAAUGUGGUAAUGCGGUACCCGAUUUCAAUUACCGAAUUUGAAUGCGAAAUCGGUUAUUACCAAAUUCAUAAUCUCAUUACCUAUUUCAUACCAUAUUAGAAUUCGAUGAAUUCGGCAUGUACCGAAUUUGUACCAAAUUACCAAAUACCCGAUUUCAAAUUACCGAAUUGAAUUUGAAAUCGGUUAUGAAUUCGGUAAGAACCGAAUUUGCUCACCCCUACCUUUGACUAAAAAAAGAGAUUUAGCUACUCAUCAUUGAGAAUAAACCAUGAAUUCUCUUGAAACAAUUCGCACGAGUAUUUGACAAUAGGAAAUAAUGAAAGAAAGAAAAUGAAGAGACUAGCUAAGCAGCCGUCCUUCCUCUUUGCAAAGCAAAGAGUCCAUCAAUCGUACUCCUGGUCGAAGUAUUAAUCAAGCGGAAUUCCCGCCUUUUCUCUCCUUUUUUGUUGCUAGUUAUAAAUCUCUUCCAAAGAAAUUGAGUCCUACUCACUUUAGGAAAAGUAUAUAAUACUUUCCUAACUAAAUAUCGGUACUAAUAAUGAUUGGACUCUGCCAAUCUCAACUAAUUGCCCAAUUAGAAGUUGGAUUCGGAUAGGAAACUUUCUUUGUCAUUUGGAAUCCCAUGUUUUCGGACUUGAUAGCAUAUCUCGACCGCAUCCAUGUCAAACUAGUCUAUAAUUUUCUGAGAAAUCACCCUUUUAACCACUUUUUGUUUCACUUCCCUACAAUUAGUACCAUUAACCAAAUAUAAGUAAAAUCUAUCAAUUAAUACAAUAUUUGGCUAAAAUCAAGGAAAAAAUAAUUAUAAAUUUAGCAAAAAAUUACAACCUAUCAAUUUUUCUCACACCUAAAUCAUGCUUGUCCUCAAACAAGAGAAACAACAAAUCAAACAAUCAAGUUCAAAUAAUGGCUAUUAUUCAAAUCAUCUAUUGUCAAUAUACAAUUAAAACACAUGUCAAGUAUUAGUGGCUAGUCCCCUAGAAAUAUCUCUCCAAUUGGUUUUUAAAAUCAAAAGACUUUUCCAAUUCUUAACUAACUAAUCUAAAAAUAUAAAAUAUUCAACCAGCAUUUUUCAGCAAACGGUUCAACUGUUAAGCAAAAUCCCAACAUUAAUCUUCAUGAAUCAGCAGGCUAACACAAUUAUUCACACACUUGCACAUUUUUCACUACUAGCUCAUCCCUCCCCUUUUUUAAAUAUCUCCAUAUUUGAUCUCUCAUUUUUCUUUUUUUUUUUUAAAGAAAAAAGGCUUAGUCCUUAGCCAUUCAAACCUUUUGACACGAACUCUAUCAUCUACCAAAUGAAGAAACCCGGUUACUCUAUUUUUAUUGCUAAAAGACUACAUACUUAUAAUUAUCGUCACUUUUUGACGCGAAAGUCGACACUUGUGGUGAAAACCUCCGAUUACUAGGUAACGAUACUAGUGGAGUAUAACUGAAUACUAUUCAUAAAUAAGCACCAAAUUAAAAUUAAAAAUCACACAAACCCGCUUCAUUUCUUAAACAUGGAGAAUUAAAAUUAAUAGUUGAACCAAUUUGCACAAAAAAUGCUAGACAAAUAUUUACAAUACUUAGAGAAGUUAACCAAAAAGUGCAAAAGUCACAAAAUCUCAAAUAUUUACCAAAGAGAUACCCUUAAACUUAAUCUUGUCAUGCUUGAUCCAUUAGCAUAUAUGUGACGCCCGAAAGAAGAAGAAAAGGAAAUUUCUGAUGAACAGUGAGAAUCCGGCCGAAAAUCCGGCCAGUUCUUGGCCGGAUUGGCUUGGGGUUUUGAAAAAAAUGGAUUUCGCCACUGCCCCAAAUCCGGCCGGAUUGUGACGUGGCACCUCAGCAGCCAGGUUUGAUCGGCUGUUUUCCAACGUUCUUAUCUUGUUUCUUGGCUGAUAUUUCCUUCAUUUCUUUCCUUGGCUUGGCCGAACUCCUUGAGGGGAAAAGAGAGAAAGUAAGCUUCAACUUCAUUCUCCAUUCUUGCUUCAAAUCUUGAGAUUUCACCGAUGGUCUUGCAAAAUACUCCAUAGCAGUUGUUGUCUAAGGAAGUUGGAAGGAGUUGGUGGAGUGAUUUUGGAAAGGCAACCUCUAAGCUACCAUUUUCUUGAGGUUUCAAGGUAAUCUUUGCUAGAAAUCCUUCUCUACUAGUAAUACUAGCAUAUUUGUGAUUUAGAGUUGUAAAUAGGUAGCUUUAUGAGAAUAUUUCAGGGGUUGAAGUAGUUCUAUGGUGAAUUUCAGUUUUAUGAUGAAAUUUUUGCUCUCAUGUGAUGUUUUGAGGAUUGUCCAUGUUUUGAUAGUUUUAUUAUGAGAAAUAUUGAAGGUUGAUAGGCUAGUAUAUUUUGCCUAAAGAGAUUCCAGCUUUUGUGCAUCAAUUUUAGUUCUAGGGUUUCGAAUUUGGGGCUUAAAUGUGAUUGGUUUUGGAGCUAUCAAUUGGCUCAAAUUGAAGGGGUAUUAUGGCCUAAUUAGAUGUGUGGUAUAUCUUAUGAUUCGUAUGUGUAAUUGUGGUUAUAUGCAAAGGUUAGUUUAGAAGAGUAAUUUCAGUUUUUGCCUUGUUUCUGGCCUCAACUUGGACUGCACAAUUCUCCAUGUUUUAGACCGAACCAGCUUUUGGACAAAACAUGAAAGUUGUAGAUAUAUGAGUUAGCUAUCUACCUGAAAACUUUCAGAUCGAUUGGAGUACUGUAGCUUGUGAAAUGACCAAAAUACCCUUGACUGCCAUUAAACCCUGUUUCGCGGACAAUUUCCAUUUUUCUCUAAGAUUUCAAUUUUUUGACCAUGAAAAUGUAUGAUUUGGCUUUGGAGGUCUUCAUAAGAAAUGUUGGUUUAUGUCUUGGCUUCGAAACGCCUUAAGAUUUGUUUCAAUCCGAUAAGUGUAGCUUCAAUUGUGAUUAAAAUGCCAAAAGGUGAUAGGAACUUGAUGCUUUUAGAAUUCCUUUUGUUUGACAUGAUAUUUGUGAUCUAGGGUUUGGACUUGAGCAAGGCAAUGAGUUAUGGUGGAUGAGAUUCAUGAGCUGUGGUUGGUGAGUGAUUCCACAACUAUUUGCAAAGUUUCUUUUCGAACUAUUUAUUGCAUUACAUACUCGAUUGCAUAUCAUGCGUGCUUGUGUGUGUGCCAUGAAAUUUUGGCUCCAAUGAGUUCUUAGGAAGUCUUGUGCUUAAAACCAACGUCUCCAUUACUGUUUACCUGGAGCACAAUGGCUCUCUAUUACUGUUGGAUUGUUAAUUGAUCUAUUUGAGCGUUGGAUGUUUAAGUACAAUAAUUUCACUGGUUCACAAGAGCAAUAUACGUACAUUUGAUCAUUGAUUCAUGAUAUCAUUUAAAUGCAUUAUUGUGACGCUUAUUUGCUUAAUGACUUUACUGGACACUCGCUGAGCUUCUAGCUCACCCCAAAAAUAUUUUUCUCCCCACAGGGCUCGAGGCAAAGGAAGCGCUUGUAUUAAGUUCUUCGUGUGGCUGGAUGGAUUAUCUCGUGUAUAGUUUGAAUUUGGAAUUCAUCUUGUGUAAUAGUUGGGAUUGUAUGAAUGUUUGGAAUUGAACGGAUGUAUGUGUACGUUCCACGCUUGGAACUAGUAUUUGCUUUGUUUUGAUAUGUAUAUUCAUGGAGGAAUUGAUGUAUAUUUGAGAUUUACAUUGUAUUAUAUUUGAGGACUGUAGUGAGUGAGUGAGUCCCGGCGAGAGAUGGGCAGGCGGUCCGCCGAACCCUUUGAUUCGCCUUAGGAGGAGGUGGGGCUGUCUCAAUAUAAAACCUUAGCAAUAGUCAAAUUUAAAAAUUUAGCCAUCGUUGAUCAAGAAUAACCACAGAAAUAUACAAAAAGUGACAAAAAUUGGAUAAAAUUCAACAAAGGCGAACAAAAAAUUCCAACAAAAAUGCCUAUACUUGCACUUUUUUAAUAUACUGCCAAUAUACUACUCUCCCCCCCCCCACACCUAAAUAUUACAUUGUCCCCAAUGUAAAAUAAAAAAUAAAAUAAAAUUAAUGGGGAUAACGAAACUUCCCUGAUAACUGGGGGGAUCGUGGAUAGCUACGGGUGAGAGGCAAAUGACAUGUGGAGCUCGACGUUGGCCAACCAACUAUUUAUUUAGUGAACUCGCUCAUGCAGAUGUUUCAACUCGGCAGCCCAUGUAGUAGUCUUAGACAUGGGGGUGCCUUUGUCUUAGCCAUUUACACGCAGUUUUUGGGAUUGUUUUGGCUACAGCAAAGCAAAGUGCCAAGACAGAGUAGCUCCCUGUCGAUGUUGUGAGACAGAAACCCGUUGAAAAAUAGCACAGCGAACUUCCAAUGGCAGGCAAAAGGCAAAGUGAUCUUACCCAACAAGCAAUCAGCAAUAGCAAUUUAGUCUAACCGAGAUAACUUCAAUCCAUCUAAUCAGCAACAUAAAUCCUUCAAAAGUUAAUCGAAGUUGAGGCAAAUGGUAAAACAGCGAGUUUUGUUUUCUUCUUGCAGGAUGACAGCUUGCGCGAUGAGAAAGAGAGAGAUGGACGGUGUGCGGUGGUAGUGGACGAGCGGAGAGAGAGAGACGGCGGCGCGAUAUGUGGGCUGCAGUUUGGGGAGAAGAAAGAAAAGGAAAAGAAGAAAGAAACAAAGAAAGGAAAGAAAAGAAAGAAAGAAAGAAGAAAAAGAAGAAAAAGAAAAGAAAAAGAAAGAAAGAAAAAGGAAAAAGAAAAGCAGAAAUAGGAAAGAGUUUCGGUGAAAUUUUUUCUUGUUACCCUUCCCUAGGACACAACGUGGGCACGUCAUGAUGGUAUGAACCCUUCUGACAAUGACUCGUUGAAUAUGCGAGUUGGCGUGGGCAUGUUAUAAUGGUCCAAACGCUUCUGACGAAGAACUUGAGAAUUUGCGCAUUACCACGCGCCCUCAAGACGUGAGUGUGUCAUGUUAGUGGAAGCGCUUCUGAUGGUGGAGUAAACUAUUUGUGCAUUAUCACGUGCCCUCAAGGCGCAGGCACGUCAUGUCAAGAGGAAGUUUUCUGACCAUUGAAACAUCAAAAAUGAAAAUGAAAUACACCAAAUAUGAAAAAUCUAAGAUAAAUAUAAACUAAUAAAAAUAAACAAAAAAUUGAAUUGGGUUGCCUUCCAAUAAGUGCAUUUUUUUAAUGUCUUUGGCUAGAUAUUACUCUGUUUGUUCAGGGAGGAUAAAAUCUUGUGACUCGUUUCAGCUCUUCAUCCUCUAUAUAAUCCUGAUAGCUCUCGUAAAUAAAGUAAUCCUUAAGCACAUGAGCUAUGGUCUUCCAUGGACUAGUAGAUGGCGCCAAACAAGUCAACAAUAAUCUUAAUUUUUCAACCACUCCUCCAUCACACGCACUUAUUGGUUCAAGAUAUUUUGCCAUCGCCACUCUUAACUUAUUAUUGUUAUGAAACUCAAAAUUUUCUGGUAUAAUAAUGUCAAUAUCGCUAAUAGAAAUUAAAGAAUAAUAGUCAGGAGAAUGUUGAUUAAGGAAUAGAGGAGGUGUCACCACAUUUGGAGAUUGUUCGCUGGAUUCAUUCACUUGAACGAUUUGGUGUUGGAGUCUCAUUUCUUGCACUUGAAUUCUGUGAGGACCCGAAUUUUUACUUAUUUUAAUCUUAUUUUAAUGGCUUAAUUAAUUAUUUAUCCACCCGUUUUCUCCAAAUAAUUUAUUUCAACCAUUUUAAGUCCAUUCAUAUGGAACAAUGUCUUCCUUAUGUUUUUAAAACAUUCCGUUAGUAAAUUUAAUUUUCGAAGGUUCGUUUAAGUGAGAAAUAAUGAGUACAUGUGUUUCGAGGUGAUAUUCUAUUUGAGAGUGUAAUUAUCUUGGGAAAAUUAAGAAUGAUCAAUAGUAGAUUAAGAAAAGUUAAUUGAGGAAUUAAAGGUGAAUGAAAUUCUCCUUAUUUUCAAUUCCUAUUGCUAGCUUAUUUAAAAUAUUUAAUUGCCGUUUGCUCCGAAUAUUUUAUUUCAAUCUUUUUAGACCUAAUUACAUGGAUCUGUGACUUACAUGUAUUUUUAAAAUGAUUCGUUUCAAAAUUUAAUUUUUGAAAGCUCGUUAAGUAAGAAUAGUGAAUAUGCGUUUGGAGAUAAUGACCGAUUUGAGAGUACAAUAAGCUUGAAAAAUUGGAGACUUGUACAUUAGCCUUGAAAUAGGUAUUUUUAUGUUUAAGUGCUCAAGUGAUAGUUAGUUAUACUAUCGUUAUAAGAAUUUCUUGAAAAAUUCACUUUAUCGCGCUUAAAUCGGAAGUACGCGUUUUUACGCGCGCGAUCAAUUAAGGGACUUAAGGCCUUUAUUUUUUUGACCAUUAAGAGUGAAUAAUAAUAGUAUGAAUAUAAGUGCAUUAGAGGUUUAGUGCACAAGUGAAACAAACCCGAGAGGAAUCGAGCACAAAACGCACGCGUACGCGCACUAUUCCUAGUUGACUUUUGAAAUAACUUUUGGUCAAAUUCUAAAGCUUCUCACGGAAGCUUACUAUCAGCAUUAGCUCUUCUUUUCCUGCUCCAAAACAGCCGGCCAUCAAGAACAAAAAGGAACCAAGAAACACUUCCAUUUUCUUCAUCAAAUCUUGCUUCAUUUCUUACACAAAUCAACUCAAAUUCACACCACACUUAGCUAAUCACUUGGAGACCACAUUAAGCUACAAAAGGGGGCUGCUUUUCACGGUUUUUCUUGGCCAAGAGGGGACCGAAAAUUCUGCCUUUGUUCAUCACACAAGUAGGUAACAAUCCGACCAUCAAAUUUUGGUUUAUGGAAGUAGAAUUACGCGUAUAAACUCUUGCAUGCAUGUGGGUAGUCUUGUUUAUGAUGGAUUUUUGUUUGGUGGGCUCUAUGAACUCCCACCUUUGAUGGAAGGACUGAUUUGGUGAUUGAUGAUGAAAAUAAUGUUGGUUUAGUGCUUAUUAUACUAGAAAUGAGUGAUGCUAUGAGUAAAAACUCAAAUGAGGUGCAAUGGGAAAAAGUGACCAUUUUGCCCCUGGUUUGUUCGACCACUUUUGUGCAAAAUUUUGAGGUUCUAAUGGCUUGUUUAUGUUGUUUACAUGUUAUAUUGAUUGUGUAAAAAGUUUCAUGGAAAAAUAAUAUGAUUUGGUUGGUUAAAUGAAGUGAUUUCCAAAGUUUAGAAAACUGGAAAAUGAUUCCCGUCACUACCCAGACAGUCAUCUUGUUUCGGCUAUAAUUCAUCGCUCCGAUGUCAGAAUUGAGUGCCGUUUGCGGCACUGGAAACUAGACAUUCCCAGAUUUCAUUUGGUAUAAAAUGCACAUUCUGGUUCCUCUCGAGUGAGCCAAACCAUUUGUUUAAAAAUUGCUGUCCUGUUUCGUUUGUCACUGGGAGGCAGAUUAUGAACUACGAUUUGAUGCUCACGUAUGAGCUGGUUAUGGACAGAUUUUGAAAAUGGUUUCUUCUGAGAAAAUAUAACCUUAUGAGUCUAUUUUCUAAUGCCAUAAACCAUGCUCAAUUCCGAGUUGAAUUGAGUGAUUUAUGAUUGAAAUUCAAAACUGACUUUGUGAACGAAAACAGUGUUUUGGACUGAUUUGAAACUAACUAUGGUUUGGGACUUGUUAUCUGAAGCUUCUUAGUGUAAAUCAUCUAUCAAAUGUACCUUGAACACAUUUUGGACAUUUCCUACUGGAAUGAACCAUGUUUGAGAUUUCCCUUGACCAAAUGUUUGGAAAUGGCAAAACGGAAGUCCAAGGCAGAUUUGUCUUGGAACUCCUUGGAACUUUAGUGGUUUUGUUAACCAUCUUUCCGUGCAUAUUUUUCUACGAAAUUUUACAGAAAAAUAGUCCCUAUAUGGUAGUAUUAUACUACUAAAUUUGGUACCAUUUCGAGUCCGUUUUGCUGCUCAACUAAACUACCAAAGUUCAUGAUUUGAGUUUGGAAAACCCUUGAUUAACAAGGAAAUCUUAGUAACUUUGAGCUACCAUAUCUUGGUGCUCAAAACUCCAAAUCUCAUUCUGUUUGUUUUGUUUUAAACUUAGAUUGUAACUCUAAUAAAGUUCCAAAUUUCAGAGGUUAUUUCGGAUCAAGUGAAUUUUACCGAAUUUUCAAAAUUGGCCAAAAACCAACCUAAACCUGUCUUCAAUGCCCCAGAACAGCAACUUUGAGCUAAUUUUUGGAUACCUUGCAUUUGGAAUCAGGGAAAAUUUUCUUCUAAGAACUUUUAGUACUUUCUAAGAGGUUUCCAACGGUACCAAGUUUUCCAAUUUUGGACUUGUAAAGAGUGAGUUACGAUUUUUCAAAGAUCUCAUAUCAAAACUGAAAUUUCCAAAUCAUAAGGAAAUGGAGUUUUCGAAUUCUUCUUAUUCCUUCGAUAUUACUUGAACGUUGUAUACUUGAUUUCGAAGAUGAAAACUAGAUUUCUCUUGUGCUUUAAAAACCCCACUUUUGAGCCUUGAUUCACGAGUAAUUUAGGCUCGCUUUCGUGAAAUUUUCUUAGAUUGUACAAGUGUACAAUCAUUCGUGAUAAUUGGGAUUUAUACAUGAUAGUUCACUAUUAAUUGCUCAGACUUGCACGAGAACCUUCAAGAGGAUCCCACGGUGAACGCCUGACCUUCAAGUGAUAUUUCUUCCUUGUUUACUUGGUGAGUGUCAAGUAUGUGUUAAAUGCUUAUGUGAUUGAGAUAUUAGUUGUACAAGUGUUAUACAUGAUGCGUAAACUUGCCAAGUCGAGUGUGUACUUUAUCACACUCGUUCUCAUUUGAAAUAAAAGACUCAUACUUGACCUGACUUGACUUGCUUGACCUGACGUGACUUGACUUGAAAAAUAUGCUACGGCUGCAUAAGUCGAUUGGAGCGAUGUCUCAUCGACCUCUGAACGAUAGCAAGUAUCACACCGAUUUGGUGGGAGGUACCUCUCGAAUCGUCUCAAACCUAUUAAUUGAACGAUUGUAAGUACCACACCAAUUCAUGUGAGAGGUACCUCUCGAAUCGUCUCAGUACCCUAGACCUCUGAACGAUAGCAAGUACCACACUGAUUCGGGUGGGAGGUACCUCUCAAAUCGUCUCAGAACCCUAAAACAUUCUAAGUCGAUUGGAGCGAUGUCUCAUCGACCUCUGGACGAUAGUAAGCACCACACCGAUCCGGGUGGGAGGUACCUCUCGAAUCGUCUCAGAACUAUAAACUGAACGAUAGUAAGUACCACACCGAUUUGGGUGGGAGGUACCUCUCGAGUCGUCUCAGAAACAUAAAUGAAAUAUGUAAAGUGCUAUGAAUUUAAUUAUUUACCCGGGUGAUGGGGUGUCGUCACGAGAAUGUAUUGAAUUGAACUUGGAGCAAAGUAAACAAAGAUUUAGCUCCUGAGAGCUCCUACACCCUACUCAAGAGGGUUUAUUAUAAAUUUGUGAAUUUCUUGAAUGUUAUAGUUUUCACUAUUGUUCAAGUGCUAUUGCUAUUGAAUUACUUGUCUUGCAUGUUUUCUUGGUCUCACGAACAUCCGCUCACCCCGUUAGAUUUGUUUUUUCUUAACAGGAGCUGAAAUGGGAGGAAUUUUGGAGAAGCUUAAUUGAUACUUCACUUGAUUAGAAUUGUGAAUGUAUUUGUUUAGAAUUUGAUUUUGGAAGAUAUAUAUUUUGGGAAUGUAAAGUAAUUGGUUAGAUUAUGAUGUAAGACUUGAACGGUUAUGGAGGUAUUGACCUUCCUUUAUCUCUUCGAUUUUUAGUAUCGAUUGGUUAUUAUUGAGUGUAAAUUGAAUUAGUAUCGAGUUCUGGCGAGAGUUGGGCAGGCGUUCCGCCGAUACCCUUGGGUUCGCCCUUGGGAGAAGUGGAGCGUCACAAAUUCCCUUUUCAUUUGCAUCUUUAGAUCUUUUUUCUUGAGACUUUUACAAGUCCAUGUCACUUGUCAGGAUAAUUGUAUUCUCAUCUUCGUUAAAGUCAAUGAUGGUCUGUGAGGGCAAUUCUUCACACAUUUGAGAAGCCAAUUGCAUCACUCUAGAUGCCAUCAAACACAGUUGAUUCCUUAUGUUACGAAUGUUCAUUUCUGUUUCCUGUUGAAAUCGAUAUGUGUUAACGACUAGUGAUUUUAUCAUUUUUUCAAGAGAUAUACCUGACGUGGGUGAUGGCUGUUGUUGAAAAUCUAUUGGCUCUGUUGCAUAAUCAAAGUUGAAGUUGUCCCACCAUUCUUGAUCACACUCGUUUGAAUAAGGGUCAUAUCACGUUUGAGAUUAGGGUGAAAAAUCUCCAAAAGUAUUGAUUGGAGCACUCAGAUCAUUUUGAAAUAUGGGGCAUAUGUUCGUUGAAUGAUUUCAGACAUAAUAAGUUCUAAAAGUUGCAACAGCCAAUUGACCAUUAGAAAAACACGAGCCUCAUUACCCCUUCUAGAAAUAAAAUUCAGUUUAUCACCAAAAUACGGAAUAUUAGCAGCCAUUAACUAGUAAAAAAGAAGAAAAAAAUAAAAACAAAAACAAGAUGAAUUCAAAAAGAAACAAACUAAUCAGGCACCAGGCCCCGAGAACGAUGCCAAAAAUUGACAGUUAGGGGUGUCAAUGAAUCGAAUCGAGCUCGAAUACUAGUUUGAUCAAGUUCGAGUUUGACAAAGUGUUUAAGGCUCGAGAUCGACAAAUAUUAGUUUUACAUGCUCGAAUUCGAUUUGUAAGAAAAUCGUGAGCUUCGAGCUCAUGUUCAAAAUUGCUCGAAUUGCGUUCGAACUCGAGUUCAAGCUCGAGCCAUUAAAUAUUGUGCUCGUUUAAAAAGCCUAUUGAACCAAACAGUCUACUGUUCUUAGUAAGCAGAAUUUGCUCUUUCAUUCAGUCUUUUAUCUGCCAUUUGCAUUUGAAAAUUCAAGAAUUCCCACAGAAAUCUACAAAAUAAAAAAUUUCAAAAUCCAAAUUCAUCCAUAUGAUUGAGAGUAUGAGACAAGCCAGUUUUAAGUAACAAUUUAAAGUCCAAAGCAUCAAACUGUAAAAAAUUUUGCAAUCGUUAUGCCAACCAAUAUCCAAAUUCAUCCAUCCAUAUUUUAACAUCAAAAUUAGCAUCCAAAUUCAGAGAUAGGUCAAACAACCAACAUCCACCAAGUCACACAAAUAGAAAAAACAAAGACAAAGUGUCAACAUUCAAGUGAAUGUCUUCAACAUGCAAUGUCAAUUGUCAAGAAAUAACCAUACUUAAAAAAAUAAAACAAAUUUUGCAAUUAAAGCAGUAAAACAGCAGCUUGUUGUCCAUUCCACAAUAAACUUUUCCAACUUUUGUUUAUGGAUUACUAAGUGGCGACUUUUAUUUUUUAUUAAAAAUCAUUUUUAAACUAUAUUUUGGGCCAAAAAUCGUCGUACUUUUAAACCCCAUUUAGGCCCAUUUUAUUUAUUUACUUUCUAAAAUCCAAAACUCAUUUUUAUUCAAAAUAAAUCAAAAAUCCAUUUUCUAUAAACAAUUUAUUUUUCAUUUAAAAAUGAGGCGCGACAUGUGCAAAUCGAGAAGCAUUUUCCUCCUAUACUCCAAUAGGGGAUGAUGAAGAGGUGAUCUACUUUGGAGACUCACGAACUGCUAAAGUUCUGGGUAAGGGCAAAAUCUCCUGAAACUUACAUCUGGAAAAACUUUGGCCCUCAAUGAUGUGCUGCAUGUGCCAAAUAUUCAGGCAAAUUUGGUUUCUAUAGUAUUGUUAGGAAAAGUUGGGGUGAAGUGUCAUUUGAAUCUGACAAGAUUGUAAUGACAAAAAAUAAUGUAUUUGUGGGUAAGGGCUACUGUAAUUAGGGAUUCUUUGUACUCAACAUUUUAAAUGUGAUCAAUGGAAAUACAUCUUCUUCUGUUUAUAUUGUUGAUUCAAUUUCUUAUGGUAUACUAGAUUAGGACAUGCUAAUGUUAAGUACAUAAAGAAAAUGCAAUCACUUGGAUUACUUUCUAGUGUUAAUAAUAAUGACAUGGACAAAUGUGAAUUAUGUGAAUAAACUAAAAUAACUAAGAAAAGUUGUAUAACUGUUCAAAGAGAAAUUGAAUUAUUAAAUUUAAUUUACACAGAUUUAGGUGAUUUAAAACAAACUAUGAUUAGAGACGAAAAAAGAUAUUAUGUUACUUUUAUAAAUGAUUAUUCUAGAUAUAAUAGUUUAUUUACUUAGAAAUAAAAAUGAUACUCAUAAUGCUUUUUUAUCUUAUAAGUCUGAGGUAGAAAAUCAACUUAAUAAGAAGAUAAAAAGAACUAGAUCAGAUAGAGGAGGUGAAUAUUCAGUUUUAGAUAAGUUUUGUGAACAUGAAGGUAUAAUACAUGAACUAACACCUUCUUACUCACCAGAAUCUAAUGGAGUAGCAGAAAGAAAAAAUAGAACACUAAAAGAAAUGAUGAACUCUAUGUUAAUUAGUUCUCAUACUCCAGAUAACUUAUUGGGAAAAGCUAUAUUAUCUGCAUGUCAUCUGCAAAAUAGAAUUUCACAUAAAAAAUUGGCAAAACACCUUAUGAGUUAUGAAAAAAUUAUAAACCAAAUUUAAAAUAUUUAAAAGUAUGGGGGUGUCUUAUUAAAGUGUUAUUACCUGAACCUAAGAAAAGAAAAUUAAGUUCUAAAACUUCUGAUUGUAUGUUUAUUGGAUAUGCUGAACAUAGUGCUGCAUAUAGGUUUCUUGUUUUAAGAAGCGAUUUACUUGAUUGUAAUACAAUUAUUGAGACAAAGAAUGCUGAGUUUUUUGAACAUAUUUUUCCAUUGUCCAAUAGAAUUUCUCAUGUACCUGUUGAAAGAAAUAAAGAAAUAACCUCUACUGAGGAAUUGAGAAGAAGUAAAAGACCGAGAAAAGAAUUUUCCUAUAGAAAUGAUUUUCAAACAUUUCUUAUUGACAAUGAUCCUUUAACUUAUUCUGAUGCAAUUUCUUCUUCUGAUUGCAAGUUUUGGAAAGAAACAAUUAAAUCUGAAAUUGAUUCUAUUUUGAAAAAUAAAAAGUGGACUUUGGUAGAUUUACCCCCUAGUGCAAAAUCUAUUGGUUGCAAAUGAAUUUUUAAAAGAAAAUAUAAUUCUGAUGGUUCUAUAGAAAAAUACAAAACUCAUUUAGUAGGAAAAGGAUUUUCUCAGAAACAAAAUAUUGACUAUUUUGACACAUUUGCACCAGUAAUAAGAAUUUCUUCUAUUCGUGUAUCAUUUGUCUUAGUUUCUAUCCAUAAACUUGUUGUUUAUCAAAUAGAUGUCAAAACAGUUUUUUUAAAUGGUGAUUUAGAAGAAGAAAUUUUGUAUGUUUCAAUCUGAAGGAUGUGUUGUAUCUGGACAAGAAAAUAAAGUAUGUAAAUUAAUUAAAUCUCUUUAUGGCCUAAAACAAGCUCCUAAGUAGUGGCAUGAGAAAUUUGAUCAAGUAUUGAUAAAAGACGGAUUUUCGUUUGUAGAAAUGGAUAAAUGUGUAUAUACUAAAUUUGUGAAUAAUCAAUAUGUGAUAAUUAACCUAUAUGUGGAUGACAUGUUUAUAUUUGGUACAAGUAUAGAUAUUGUUAAUAGUACUAAAUAUUUUUUUUCUUCUAAUUUUGAUAUGAAAGAUUUGGGUGAAACUAAAAUGAUAUUGGGUGUUAAAAUCAUAAGGAAAAUGAUGGUAUAAUUUUGUCAUAAGAACAUUAUAUAGAAAGACUUCUUAGCAAGUUUGAAAAUUAUGAUGUGACACCUAUAAGUACUCCUUAUGAUGCUAACAUUCAAUUAAAGAAAAAUAAUGAUGACCUAAUUGCUCAGUCUAAAUAUGCUCAGAUUAUUGGGAGUCUGAUGCAUAUGAUGAAUUUCACAAGAUCUGACAUAGCUUAUGCUAUGUGUAGACUGAGUAGAUAUACUCACAAUUCUAAAAGUGAGCAUUGGUUUGCAUUAAUCAGACUAAUGAAAUAUUUGAGAGGUACCAUAAAUUAUGGUAUCUUAUAUUGUGGAUUUUUCACUGUAUUAGAAGGGUACAGUGAUGCUAAUUGGAUUUCGGAUUCAAAUGAGACAAAAUCCACUAGUGGUUAUGUAGUUACCCUUGGUAGUGGUGCAGUAGUACGGAAGUCAGCUAGGCAGACAAUCAUUAUUAGGUUAACUAUGGAAUCAAAGUUUGUAGUUCUAGAGUUUACUGGUUCUGAGGCUGAUUGGUUAAGAAACUUCUUAGCCAAUAUUCCUCCGACUAAGGAUCUGUUGCCUCCUAUAUUCAUACAUUGUGAUUGUCAAGCGGCAAUUGCUAUUGCAAAAAAUAAAUCAUAUAAUUGUAAAAGUCGACAUAUGAAACUAAGACAUGAUGUCGUAAAGCAGCUGCUUAGAGAUGGAAUUAUUUCCAUUGAUUUUUUGAAGUCAGAGUUGAACUUGGCCGAUCCUCUGACUAAACCUGUAGGAAGAAAAUUAAUUCUUCAAACUACAAGGGAAAUGGGAUUGAGGCCAACAAAUUGUCAAUAGAGAUAGUAACCUAACCUAUGUGAUUGGUGAUCCCAUGAAAUAGGUUUAUAUGGAUAAUAACAAGUCAAUAUUGACCGUAAAGUACUUCAAAUCUAAGUCUCUCCGGAGAUAAGUGCUUUGAUUGCUAGUAAUUGUGAGGAUGAGUUUAAAAUUCUUAAUAAAUUCAUAUCUCUUUAGGGAGGUGUAUUUAAAGUAAUAUACACUCGAUGAAUUCACCUAUAUGAGAGUGGAGUGGGGCCGCUCCUAUAAGAUUUAUUGGCCGAAUCUUUAUAGCUCUCAUGAAUAACCAGACAGGCGCAUGGCCUAAUAGCGUAAAACCGCGUUAACAGCAAAUUAUGGGUUGCAAUGUGAUUGAUAAAAUCUCUAUCAUACAUCAAGAGUUAUUGGUUCAUAGAAAUUUAUAUUUCACCAAUAAUUCUGUAGGUCAUGUUUUGUCAAUUUAAGUUUGGUUCAUAGUCCAAAAGACACCACACUAAUUACAUUUCACCCAAAUAAAUCCAGCGGAUUAUUUUCUUAUCUUUUGACCAAAAUCUUUUGAAAUACGAAGGAGAUUGUUGUAAAUAAAUGUAUUUCAAAAGAUUCUUGGCCCAUGUUGUAAACUAGAGGAAGUUAUCUUGGAUAAAAGUUUGACCCUUUCAAAGUUUUAUCUGCACAACUAUUUCAAAACUUUAGCAUGUGCACUCUGAAGGAUAAAACUUUACCUACAAUCUAAUAGCUUUGACCACAACGGUUCUGUUGGUUCCUAAACAUUUGCAUCACAUGGAUAAAAUCCAUGAUUCUCUUAACAGUCAACAAACGUGACUUUUGAUCCCUUUGCACGUUACUUUUUCUAGACCUAUAAAUACUAGGCAUUCUUGUUUCUCCAAGUACAUCACCAAACUUUCCAAAAGUCAUUCUCUCUUUCUCUUGCUCUCUGGUCUUUAUUUUACUUCUCCUACUCUCUGUUGGAUAUAGUGCAACUUGCUGUUCUUGUUCCUUCUUGAUUUAAGAAGAUGGCUUGUUUAAUCCUGGGGAAAUAUUUCAGUAUCCCUAAAAUAGUUCUUAGAACAGUACUAUUUAGCACAACUCAAGCGUGUUCGUGUUCCUCAUUUAGUUACUAGUGUUAGCAUUGUUAAGCAUUUGUUCCUACAGUUAAGUCAUUAUGUGGCUUGAAACAAGCACCUAAAUAAUGGUAUAAAAAAUUUGAAUAUGUAUUACUUUCAGGUGAAUUUAGGUACAAUAAUACUAACAAGUGUGUUUAUUCUAAACUCACUCAAGAGUAUAGUGUGAUAAUUUGUCUCUAUAUAGAUGACACAAUAAUUGUUAGUAAUACCAUGAAAUGUGUUGAAAACACUAAGAAGUAUCUUUUUUCAAGGUUCAAAAUGAAAGACCUUGGCCAGGUGGAUACCAUCUUAGGUAUUAAAGUUAGGAAACAAUAUAGUGGGGGUUAUGUUCUAUGUUAAUUUCACUAUAUUGACAAGAAGAUAUUGAACAAGUUUUAGUAUCUUAAAAUCAAAGAAGUGAGUACUCCCUUUGAUCCUAACUUGAAGUGUUAUGAGAAUUCUAAAAUUCUAUUGCUCAACUUGAAUAUACUAGUGCAAUUGGAAGCAUGGUGUAUGCAAUGAAUUGCAUAAGACUGAAUAUAUCAUAUGCAGUUUGUAAGCUUGCUAGAUAUAUUAAUAAUCCAGGUAUAGAUCAUUGGAAGUCUAUUGAAAGAAUUUUUGGUUAUCUUAAAAGAACCAAGAGUCUAGAACUCUUUAAUAAUAAAUUUUCAGCACUACUUGAAGGUUUCUCAUAUGCUAGUUGGUUCACUAAUGUGAGUAAUAAGAAUUCCACAACUAGGUAGAUAUUUAAUUUGGAUGGUGGUGCAAUCUCAUGGGCUUUUAAGAAGUAAACCAUGAUUGCCCUCAUUCCACAAUGGAAGUUGAAUUUAUAGAUUUGGCUGCUACGUGUAAAGAGGCAGACUGGUUUAGGGACUUGUCACUUGAUACCA
Molecule: long non-coding RNA, 41818 nt
Filed under: Coffea arabica (coffee)
Lineage: Eukaryota; Viridiplantae; Streptophyta; Magnoliopsida; Gentianales; Rubiaceae
Description: long non-coding RNA (CARA_LNC004230)
Source: RNAcentral